This 401-nucleotide long non-coding RNA is filed under the name Phaseolus vulgaris (common bean). RNAcentral describes it as "long non-coding RNA (PVUL_LNC001023)". Lineage: Eukaryota; Viridiplantae; Streptophyta; Magnoliopsida; Fabales; Fabaceae. The record is from RNAcentral.
AAGAACUCAUCCAAGCUGGCCACCUGCGCAAAUUCAUUAAGAUCGACACUAACUUGUACCGAUUUCCACAAAGGGAGGCUACCUACUUAAGAGUCGUAAAGAACAAUACGAUUGGUGUGGAUGAGAAGGCUCAUGUCGUUUUGAUGACAACCAGCGUCCAGCAAAGCAUAGAAGAAGAAGUGAGAGCCUAGUACGAAGGACUCGACCGCGAAGCGAGGGUCUUAGGAAGAACGAUUGAACAAGACGCGGUGCCCAAGAGGUUAUCAAUACUAUAGCUGGUCUGAUCCCAUUCGAAAGCACUGGAUGAGAAGUAAAUAUAAUCGCAGGAGGCUUUGUUGGAGGCGAAUGCUCCAAUUCUGCCCGAAAGAAGCACUUUUGGGUCGUUCUAUCGGUCCAUUUUG